Molecule: RNase P RNA, 405 nt
Filed under: Chitinispirillales bacterium
Lineage: Bacteria; Pseudomonadati; Fibrobacterota; Chitinispirillia; Chitinispirillales
Description: RNase P RNA component class A
Rfam family: Bacterial RNase P class A
About the family: Ribonuclease P (RNase P) is a ubiquitous endoribonuclease, found in archaea, bacteria and eukarya as well as chloroplasts and mitochondria.
Source: RNAcentral
ACGGAGGAUCGGGCAGCCGCUGCAAGGCCUUGCGGUUUCUUGCAGAGGAAAGUCCGGGCGCCGCAGGGCAGGAUACCGCGGAAGCGCGGGGCCCGCAAGGGUACGGAAAGCGCCGCAGAGAGGAGACCGCUCUUCGCCAGGGCUACUUUUGGCGCGGGGUGAGAGGUGAAAGGGUGGGGUAAGAGCCCACCGUCCCGAUAUAACGGGAGCCGGCAAGCCCUAUCCGGCGCAAGGCCAAGCAUGGGGGGAUCCCCUAACGGGGAGGGGGCGGCGCCGUUCCCAAACCAUCCCUCCGGGUAGGCCGCUCAACGCCCAAAGCGAUUUGGGCCAGACAAAUGGCUGCCUCUCCCCGCGCCGCAAGGCGUACGGGAAAGACAGAACCCGGCUUACAGAUCCUGCGUCCGC